GGUUCCAUAGUGUGGCGAUUAGCACAUCUGCUUUACACGCAGAAAGUCCUGGGUUCGUGCCCCAGUGGAGCCA
This 73-nucleotide transfer RNA is filed under the name Pteropus alecto (black flying fox). It matches the Rfam family "tRNA". From Rfam's summary of the family: Transfer RNA (tRNA) molecules are approximately 80 nucleotides in length. Their secondary structure includes four short double-helical elements and three loops (D, anti-codon, and T loops). The record is from Rfam by way of RNAcentral. Lineage: Eukaryota; Metazoa; Chordata; Mammalia; Chiroptera; Pteropodidae.